RNAcentral lists this transfer RNA (76 nucleotides) under Alteromonadaceae bacterium. RNAcentral's name for it is "tRNA-Ala". It matches the Rfam family "tRNA". From Rfam's summary of the family: Transfer RNA (tRNA) molecules are approximately 80 nucleotides in length. Their secondary structure includes four short double-helical elements and three loops (D, anti-codon, and T loops). The record is from RNAcentral. Lineage: Bacteria; Pseudomonadati; Pseudomonadota; Gammaproteobacteria; Alteromonadales; Alteromonadaceae.
GGGGCCUUAGCUCAGCUGGGAGAGCACGACACUGGCAGUGUCGGGGUCAGCGGUUCGAUCCCGCUAGGCUCCACCA